Molecule: long non-coding RNA, 698 nt
Organism: Stylophora pistillata
Lineage: Eukaryota; Metazoa; Cnidaria; Anthozoa; Scleractinia; Pocilloporidae
Source: RefSeq, a predicted model, not a curated record
GUGCUACAAGUUUUUUUUUCAGACAGAUUCCCUGUGCCAUGCACUGAACCUAAUAUUCUGACUCUAAAUGGGGUUUUACCAGACAGAUCCCCAGUGCUUUGCACGGAGCCUAAUGAUGGUUUAACGACUGGACUUUUAGCGGACAGGUUCCCUGUGCCAUGCACUGAACCGAAUCAAAAUGGGCAUUUACCAGAUAAUUUACCAGUGCAGUGUUCAGACCAAGAAGGACCGACUGAUGUAGAAAACCUGAGGCUUUCGAUUUGCUAUCAAAUCAGAUGAGCAGAGAUCAGCUAAAAAAAAGUAGUUUCUUGGUUUAUCUUAGCGCUACUUUAAAGAGCCGGCUUUCGAUGAUGAAUCGAAGAUCAAAUAGAAAGUUACAAUCUUACAAAUUUUGUUCCCGUUCUCUUUAAAUACUUGGUCAAGAUUUGUCCUUAAAAAUUUUAUGAUAAAAAUGUCCAUAGUUACGUUAAUAUUGGCCAGCUGUUGUUGUUUGCACAGGCGGACUAUACACCUGUUUAAUUUGAUAAGGAAACGAUGCUUCCAAAACUAUCGAUUGGGUAGGUUUGAGUACACUGUACAAGCUUGUAUCUCCAGCACAAUCUAAUGUAGUUUAGUAUUUUUAAAUGACAAUUUUUAUCAGGAAAAGUAGUUUCGUAAGUAAUUAACACUUAACACUAGUGGAACGGAUUAAAACAUUU